AUAUCACAUAAUAUUCAUUGAUAUUGCCUUGAUUUUGGAUUCAGUUAUUCUCUUUUAUCAUACACUUACAUGUUGUGUUGUGUUGUGAUUUAAAUUAUAUAUAUGUCCUUCGUCCAAUGCCAGCUCGGCUUUUGUUAGUUUGUGUGAAAAUGUUUGGUCUUAUGGAGGUGAGGUAGGGAUAAAAUCUUGGUUUUUUGGCUAGGUCCUAGCGUCAUUUGUGGAGGCUCAGGCCACACAACCAUUAAAUAGAUACAUUGCCUUCUGAACAUCUGGUAUCGUUGAUCUGCACUCGUGAAAGCUCUUCUAUUAUUUUUCCUUUUGGCUCUUUCUGGAAACAGCUGGACCCAUGGUAUUCCUUUUGGCAAUUAUUAUUGAAAAUAUUUGUAAUACAUUGGAUGGUUCCACUUUGAGCAACUUAAAAUUGCUAUGCUUAUGCUUUUGGUUUUGGGACAAGACAUGCAAGCGCUGAUCAACAAAAUAAAGUCUAUUAUGGCACCACUUCCAACCAAAUACUCUAGUGCAUUGUGAGUCAUUUUCCUUAUGUUACAUUACUGUUGUGGUUGUUCAUGCAAUAUCUUUCUUCUUAUCUUGGUUCUUCUAGUUUGUAUAUUUGGGGACUCUCUUGUACCUUACACCAUGAGAGGCGAUGUGUGGCAACUUAUUGAAAUGAUAAGAUAGUGUAAGAGGAUAACGAAAGAUGAAUGAAUAUCCUAAUUUUUUUUAUGCCUAUGAGAUUUUAGAUUUUUCCUUGUGAGGAAUUGUGUUCUUAUCUCUAUAUUAUGGCCUUUAAUUAGUGUCAUCUAAUCCUUGCUCUAUUUUUGUUUUCCAGUCGGGCCCUCAUAAAAGCAUGCUACGAAAAAACCCAGAACUUCGGCCGAGUGUAUUUCCUGUUCUUUAUUCUUUGUUUUACACUUUCCGAAAAUGUUUUACGUAGGAGAAGCAUUAAUAUAAGCAUAUUAAUGAUUUUCCAUUGCCUUAGAUAAUCUAAAUGAUUCCAAGUUCAUUAAAUAAGACUCAGCUAUUUGUGGUUGUUAUGGCUAAUAUAUUGCCAUUCAUAGUCAUUGGCAUAGGCCUUUUCUAGUAAGUUUCACUAAUAAUUUAAAAUCAUUGUAUUGUAUCGUCCAAAAUUCUAAGCCAAGAGGUGUUUAAGGUACUUAUUGGUUUUAUAUUUCAAUUGGAUUAACUUUUGGAAGGUAUAUAUAUGAAUUAAGAAAUAAACAUAUAUUUGCUAUUUUGUUGUUUGUCUGCAAAGAAAAAGCUGAAAAUAAUAUUUGGUAGAUUGCGAUGCAAAAAUGAUAUCGUACUGCAAAUAGAGAAGCAUGACUUUGUUUGUAACCAUCAUGGUAACUGUAGGGAUGGUAGUCAUAGGUCCUUGAUGGUCGCUAUGGUUCUAGAUAUGAUGGGUGUGUCAAUAGUGAAGUGCUUGUGGUAGUAUGGGAUACAGUGGUAAUAAUGAUGUGAUGUGUCAUAUUGCAAAUGGCAUCAAUAGAUGUGUCAUGGUGAUCCUAGUAAUGGUAGUUUUGAUAUAGAUUGACAUCUAUGGCUGUUUCAUAACCUCUAUGGCGGUGAUCAACCAUUUUAGGUGCUGGCAAUGGUAUUGGGCCAUCGAUGGUUAUGAGGAAAAAAUCAAGGUUAGGCCAUUGAUGGUGGUGGUAAUAGAACUAUUGUUUCACCUAAAUUUUGCUUCCAAAAAAUUUAGCUCUUAAUUCCAAUGCCAUUUUUUUUUUUUGUAUUUUUGUAUUUUUGCUUCCAAAAAAAUCUAUUGUUUUUUUAAAAAGCUAUCCAAAUACUAUACUAAAGGGCCUUUGUGGUCUCAAAAGUAGAUAUAUAAUUUUGAUCAUUUGCAAUUAUGUUCUUGUUUAGACAUUUGCUUGUGCAUUUGUGUAUGCUCUAUAAUUAUGGAGGAUGAAAUUGGCUGGGAGUAUGAUGAAUGCAUUUUCUGAAGGACUCAUAUUGGCUGACAAAAGUGGACUUAACCCCAAAACUCUUCUUGACGUGUUGGACCUAGGUGCAAUAGCUAAUCCAAUGUUUAAGAUGAAAGGACCCACUAUGAACCAAAAGAGCUACUCCCCUGCAUUUUCUCUGAAACAUCAGCAGAAGGACAUGAGGUUGGCUCUUGCCUUCGGUGAUCAAAAUGCAGUAUCAAUGCCAGUGGCAGUUGCUGCUAAUGAGGAGGCAAUGGAAUCGAAAUACAGAUUAUGACUUUGAGGCAGAAGUUCAAGAACUGAUUAGUGGGACAUGAAGGUGGCCAAAGAAAUGGUGCAAAUGGAGAUGUAGCCAAUGAUCAUUAUACCACUACUUGGAGGACAUUGAGUUAGUGCAGUCAUUACAGGAAUAUGGUUGAAGAUUCUCAAUCUCAUGGGCCAGAGUUCUACCUAGUAUAUUUUUCAAUAAUCUAUUAGUGUUUGUUACUCAUAAUUUGAUUCGUUCAUAUAACUUGAUUAAUAACCUUCUUGAGCUAUAUUAGGAGGUAGAAACAUGGUCUUUGGAUGAUUUGUAAUGUACAGACAAUUUUUGGAUGUUUGAAACUUAUAAAUAGUUUUUUUUGGUGUUUGAAAUAAU
Molecule: RNA transcript, 2562 nt
Organism: Camellia sinensis
Lineage: Eukaryota; Viridiplantae; Streptophyta; Magnoliopsida; Ericales; Theaceae
Gene name: glyoxylate/succinic semialdehyde reductase 1
Source: RefSeq, a predicted model, not a curated record